GAGCGUGCUUCUCUUCAUUUGCCGAAUAAGUCUUUCGCCUCUUACUAAAGAUUUCCGUAAAGAGGGGCACUCUAAUGUUAUCUUAUUUUUUAUAUACAUACAUAGGAAUC
Drosophila hydei is the source of this 110-nucleotide small nuclear RNA. RefSeq annotates it as U5 spliceosomal RNA. NCBI's taxonomy places the organism in Eukaryota, Metazoa, Arthropoda, Insecta, Diptera, Drosophilidae. The transcript has a single exon. The record is from RefSeq and is a predicted model, not a curated record.